UGUGUAGGCGGUUUUCUAAGUUUGGUGUGAAAUCUCCCGGCUCAACCGGGAGGGUGCGCCGAAAACUGGGAGACUAGAGUGCGGGAUGGGAGAGUAGAAUUCCUGGUGUAGCGGUGAAAUGCGUAGAUAUCAGGAGGAAUACCGGUGGUGUAGACGGCUCUCUGGACCGCCACUGACGCUGAGACACGAAAGCGUGGGUAGCAAACA
This 207-nucleotide ribosomal RNA is filed under the name uncultured bacterium. RNAcentral's name for it is "partial 16S ribosomal RNA". It matches the Rfam family "Bacterial small subunit ribosomal RNA", at positions 568 to 774 of the family's 1533-position model. The record is from RNAcentral.